This 492-nucleotide ribosomal RNA is filed under the name Triticum aestivum (bread wheat). RNAcentral's name for it is "partial small subunit ribosomal RNA". The record is from RNAcentral. Lineage: Eukaryota; Viridiplantae; Streptophyta; Magnoliopsida; Poales; Poaceae.
AUGGCUGCACUCAUUCGUGGAGCUCGGGCUGGGCGCGGCGGCCCAGGCCGCGCUCAGGGACGGCAGAGGGGGCGCGUCGUCGACGACGUGCCUGCACAGGUUAUUGGUCCUUUAGGCAACCAGUGGUUGUACUGGCAGGGCGGAAAUGCGAAUGUCUCCAGGGAGCCAACCAAGGCUGAGAUCAAGGAGCAGCUCAUGUUCCAAAGGCUGGAGUCCUCUCCCAAAGUUGCUCCUGAGGAGCUCUUGAUUUAUGCUGUCACAGAUGCUCUUGCCCGUCAGCCUCAACCCAUUGUUGAUAUGCUGAACGCGAUUGUGGUCAGAUACAAUAGAAUGGGAGAUAUGCGGCGCCAAUACUUGUUUAAGAAGAUCGAAGGUUUUCAAGGAAAAGAGAUGUUUCAGAUGUUGAAGAAAUUACAGGAGGACAAGGAAGAAGUUGAAGGUAGAAUAGAAGAUGUAAGAAGCGCUGGAGGCUUCUGCCCCCCAUUACCUUGA